Molecule: small nuclear RNA, 126 nt
Filed under: Fukomys damarensis (Damara mole-rat)
Lineage: Eukaryota; Metazoa; Chordata; Mammalia; Rodentia; Bathyergidae
Description: U4 spliceosomal RNA (ENSFDAG00000003326.1)
Rfam family: U4 spliceosomal RNA (bases 1-75)
About the family: U4 small nuclear RNA (U4 snRNA) is a component of the major U2-dependent spliceosome. The structure of U4 snRNA from yeast and human has been reported. U4 snRNA presents a k-turn RNA motif in the 5p-SL related to recognition of Snu13 protein.
Source: RNAcentral
AGCUUUAUGCAGUGGUAGUAUUGUAGCCAAUGAGGUUUAUUCAAGGUGCAAUUAUUGAUAAUUGAAAGCAUCUUAGCAGUGGUAGUUUCCUGGGGGGGACAGUAAGAUAGAAUGCCACUGAACUGG